RNAcentral lists this ribosomal RNA (957 nucleotides) under Salmonella enterica subsp. enterica serovar Typhimurium. RNAcentral describes it as "partial 23S ribosomal RNA". It matches the Rfam family "Bacterial large subunit ribosomal RNA", at positions 1084 to 2023 of the family's 2925-position model. The record is from RNAcentral. RNAcentral also lists the same sequence under 2 other names. Lineage: Bacteria; Pseudomonadati; Pseudomonadota; Gammaproteobacteria; Enterobacterales; Enterobacteriaceae.
CCCAGACAGCCAGGAUGUUGGCUUAGAAGCAGCCAUCAUUUAAAGAAAGCGUAAUAGCUCACUGGUCGAGUCGGCCUGCGCGGAAGAUGUAACGGGGCUAAACCAUGCACCGAAGCUGCGGCAGCGACGCUGAUGCGUUGUUGGGUAGGGGAGCGUUCUGUAAGCCUGUGAAGGUGUGUCGUGAGGCAUGCUGGAGGUAUCAGAAGUGCGAAUGCUGACAUAAGUAACGAUAAAGCGGGUGAAAAGCCCGCUCGCCGGAAGACCAAGGGUUCCUGUCCAACGUUAAUCGGGGCAGGGUGAGUCGACCCCUAAGGCGAGGCCGAAAGGCGUAGUCGAUGGGAAACGGGUUAAUAUUCCCGUACUUGGUGUUACUGCGAAGGGGGGACGGAGAAGGCUAUGUUGGCCGGGCGACGGUUGUCCCGGUUUAAGCGUGUAGGUGUGUGUUCCAGGUAAAUCCGGUUCACUUUAACACUGAGGCGUGACGACGAGGCACUACGGUGCUGAAGCAACAAAUGCCCUGCUUCCAGGAAAAGCCUCUAAGCAUCAGGUAACACGAAAUCGUACCCCAAACCGACACAGGUGGUCAGGUAGAGAAUACCAAGGCGCUUGAGAGAACUCGGGUGAAGGAACUAGGCAAAAUGGUGCCGUAACUUCGGGAGAAGGCACGCUGACACGUAGGUGAAGUGAUUUACUCAUGGAGCUGAAGUCAGUCGAAGAUACCAGCUGGCUGCAACUGUUUAUUAAAAACACAGCACUGUGCAAACACGAAAGUGGACGUAUACGGUGUGACGCCUGCCCGGUGCCGGAAGGUUAAUUGAUGGGGUCAGCGUAAGCGAAGCUCCUGAUCGAAGCCCCGGUAAACGGCGGCCGUAACUAUAACGGUCCUAAGGUAGCGAAAUUCCUUGUCGGGUAAGUUCCGACCUGCACGAAUGGCGUAAUGAUGGCCAGGCUGUCUCC